Non-coding RNA from Rattus norvegicus (Norway rat), 7024 nucleotides. The record is from RefSeq and is a predicted model, not a curated record. Lineage: Eukaryota; Metazoa; Chordata; Mammalia; Rodentia; Muridae.
AUCCUGUUGCCGCACGUCGUUCUUGCUGGUGGGACAUUGGGCGCGCGACAAGUGGUGCCGAGACCCGGAAACCAACAUCGCCGGUGCCGAGGGGACCCUUCAGUAUGCUGAAGAGGAUUCAGAACUGCGAGAAGAAUCAAGAAAAUCCAAUUUGGGUACCUGAGCGUUUGACUCGAAGAUUGCCUUCUGCUCUUCCUGAAGAUGAGACUACGAACCCUACUAUUACUACUGGGAAUGGUAAUACAGGUUAAUUCGCUCACCCUGUGGGCUAUUGCCAGAUCCUGGCCAGUACCCAUGCCAGUUCAUAGCAAUUCUACUGUUUUGAGAAUAAGACUGACAAACAUAAUCUCUGGCCUUGGUUUCUAUGGGUGCUGUCCAAUGAGCAAGGGUCAUAUAUAUCCCUGACCCCCUUUGCUAGGUUGAUGGGAGAGAACUUCGUGCUGUAUAAUGUUUCAGCUAUCAGAAAAAGGUGAUACCAGGUUGAUCAAUAUUCAAUAUAAUAACCUCUUGGUAAAUAAUACUGCCACUAGUACUUCAGUAUGUGCUAGAUCACCUUUUUUCUGAUAAGCACUAAUGUAAGCAGUGGUGCUUUAAAUUGUAAUAUCUCUGAUGUAGUCUGCUAUUUAGCUGAAUGCUGGGAUGGCACUAAUGACACCGCAGUGAUGGUUAAGAUUCGCUCCUUUGUGCCAAUCCCAGUGGAGGCAAACCCAGAUAGCUUUCCUAUUCUUAAUUUGCUGAGAGCCAAAAGAGAUUUUGGAAUUAUGGCAGCCAUAAUUUCAGCCAUUGUGCUGCCUGCUGCCGCAGCUACCACAGCUGCAAUCGCUAUGACCAAUCAAAUACAGAUGGCUGAGACUGUCGAUCAGAUUGUAGAAAGAACUGCAGUGGCGCUAGAGAUACAAGAAGGAUUUAAUACCCAUUUGGCAUCUGGCCUUCUAUUAGCCAAUCAAAGGAUAGAUUUAGUUCAAGAACAAAUUGAAGCACUGUAUCAUAUGAUGUGUCUUGUGUUUCUUCCCUUCGAGGUUUAUGCAUUAUUCUUUUGCGAGCUAACUUUUCUCAGAAUUUUCAACAGAACAAAGAAAUCUCGAAUUAUCUGAAAGGAAACUGGUCCAUGAAAGCAGAGCAACUAUCAAGACAAUUGCUGAUGCAGAUUGCUGUCCUCAACAGCACUAGGCUGGACCCCAUCACAGUUGAAGACUUUACCUCAUGGAUUACCAAUGCUUUCUCCCUUGUUAAGGAGUGGGCGGGCAUGUUUGUCCCGGGGAGCUAUUGUCCUCCUGGGAUGCGGAGUAGGUCUCUGGCUUAUUGGCCGUUUAAAAAGAGAACAUGCCAGACACAAAGUGGUUGUUUACCAGGCUAUGACCACCAUUAAAAAGGGUGCUUCUGGGGGCUGGGGAUUUAGCUCAGUGGUAGAGCGCUUACCUAGGAAGCGCAAGGCCCUGGGUUCGGUCCCCAGCUCCGAAAAAAAGAACCAAAAAAAAAAAAAAAGGGUGCUUCUCCCAACAUAUGGCUGGCCUCUUUGAAAGAUCAAGAGUUCGCCCUAGAUCAUUUUUGUCACAGUCAUGUGGAGUCAUUGUAUCCAGGGACGGGCAACUUUCCUCGAACUCAGACCAACCUAAGACACGGGGCCCGGUGGCGAUAGGGUAACUCUAUGACGGGUAAGGCCGAGUUUGGAUGAGAACGACCUAAGACAGGAGCAAUGACAAGAUUGACGUGACACCCAGAUCUAGACCAGUCAUUUUAUUAAACAAAAAAGGGGGAGAUGUAGAGAGCGGCGCGGCGAAACAAAGAUGGCGCCGACAUCCAGCCUUGUCUGGAUAUAAACGACUUACUGCGCAUGUGCAGGCUUGUCCCCUUGCUAGGGCUCCCUCUAGUGGUGAACAGCGGUACUGCACAUGUGCGGUUUAUGCACCAGGUGUCAGUUGACCGUUAAUAUGCUAAUGAGGUGAUUCAUUCUCCGCCAAUCCCUGGAGGACAAGUAGUGGGGUGAUCCAAGCCCCACCAAUCCCUGAGAGAUAAUUAGCAUACUGUUGUCUAUAUAAGCCGAGCGAUUUUGCUGCUCGGAGUCCCUGUUCAGAAGAGCUGUAACACUAAGAAGAGCUGUAACACUGAGAAGAGCUGUAACACUAAGAAGAGCUGUAACACUGAGAAGAGCUGUAACACUAAGAAGAGCUGUAACACUGAGAAGAGCUGUAACACUGAGAAGAGCUGUAACACUGAGAAGAGCUGUAACACUAAGAAGAGCUGUAACACAGUAAAGGCUUGCUCGCAGAAGAAUCCUGUUGCCGCACGUCGUUCUUGCUGGCGGGACAUUGGGCGCGCGACAGAAGAGGUUUUGGAAUUCCACAGACUGAAAUAAAUGUGGACUGUGGAGGCCUGGUUCAUUAGGUUUCAGAGAGGAACAAGCACUCUCUCAGGUACCAGGUUAGAGCUACAUUCUAGCAAAGAAUCUAGCUAUGUUCUGCCUGUGUCCUGAGACUGAAGGGAGGCCAAACUUAAUGGACUGAUGUCUUCAGUGAAAGGCAUUUCAAGACAGGACAGCAUCCAGGAUGAAGCAUGGUUAUUGAUUGCCAAUCUUACCUGGGUGAAGAAGAGUUAAAAACUAUUGUAGAAUAACAGAAGAUGCAGUUUUUCUAAGAAAGAGACUGACAAAUUUUUUUAUUAGAUAUAUUUCUUUACUUACAUUUUGAAUGUUAUUCCCUUUCCCAGUUUCCUGUCCAUAAGUCCCCAUUCCCUCCCCCUCCACCAUAUGGGUAUUCCCCCCAUCCAUCUCCCUUAACCGCCCCCCUCCAACAUUCCCCUGCACUGGGGGUCCAACCUUGGCAGGACCAAGGACUUCCCCUCCACUGGUGCCCCAACAAGGCUAUUCUCUGCUACCGAUGAAGUUGGAGCCCUGGGUCAGUCCAUGUAUAGUCUUUUGGUAGUGGUUUAGGGACUGGUGCAAAUUUAAAGUUGCAGUCAAGGGAUGUGCCGAAAAGAAACUGUGAUUUUUUUUUUAACAGAAACCUCCUGCUCUGUAGAGGCAUAGGAAAGGUGCCUGGAGGGCAGGAGUCCACCCAACAAAGGCUCCAACUUGUGAAAUUGCCAACUUACUUGAAAGAAAAGAGCCUGAACUCAGAACACCAAAGGGCUCUUACUCUUAGAAAACAACUGCCUAGCAAGUGUUUCCCCAGGGUCAGCACCCAAGAGCUGCUACAGCUGUGGUCCAAGUCAGCCACAGUAUAUCUCGAGCUGGCAGUAGAAUUUGACAGUGUUGUCUGCAUGGUUCUGGCUCCAUAAGCAUGAAAAAUGCUACAUUAGUGUGGCCCCAUGGUUCCAGAAAUCUUAUGAGGUCAAGCUACACAGUGACAAGGCAAAAGAGACUGCAGGAGUCCCUGAGAGUGAAGGUAAAGUCUAAGAUGGCAAGAGGGUUCCAGGAUGUUUGAGAGACCAGACGCAUGGCAUCCACCAAAGAAAUCUGCAUACAUGGAACAGAGCCAGUUCAACAAGAAUCAUGUGUUAUGGAGUGGGCAGAGCUGGGGGUGAGGAAGCAGGGGCUACCUAAGCCCUUUGGAGAUUAUAUGAUGUCAUCUAUAGUAAAAAGUGGAGCUAGAUGAUUUGGUAUUUCUUCUGCCUUUCCAUCCUGCCUCGGUCCGAUCUUUUUGCUCUACUCCUAUUCUCUUGUUUAGAACAGGAAUGUUUACUUUGGCCAUUUUAUGUUGGAAGAAUGUAGUCUGUCCUUUGAUUUCAUAGGGACUCACACAUAAGGGUUCUCAGUUUGCUUUGGUUCUCAGAAGAGACUUUGGGCAUCUAAAUAGUGUCAGUCUUGCUCAUUAAAGGGACUUCAGAAGUUGGGAUGAAUACAUUUCCCAACGAGAUGGCAAUGAACUCAUGGGGGCUAUAGGUAAGAUGUUAUAGUUUGAAUGUGAAAGGUCUCUACAUGCUCGAGUUUGAACACUUGGUCCCAGGCUGGUGGUGCUAUUGGAGUGGAGAAGCUUUUAGGAGUGGGUUCAUGCUGGAGGUACUUGGACCCAUGUCCUGUCCACACCGCUCUGUUACUGAGAUGCAAUGGGACUAGCGGGCUCGUGCUUCUGCUGUCAUUUGUGCCAGAGGUUAGACCCUUACACCUUUUCACUCCUUCUUCAGCCUCGCUGGCAUUAACACUCAUCAUUUUACCCCCAAACUCUAAACACAUGUUCGUUUUUAAAUUAUUUAUUAAACCAGGCUCCCAAAUACUGCUAUGUAGUCAUUGUCACUGAUUUUGCUACAGUGGAUUUACAGUAUAUCAACUACCAUUUUAAAUACCAUUCUUGAUUUCUACAUUUGAAGCCGAGAAGACAGACUCUUGAGGGAAAGGACACAAUUUCAUUCAUUUAUAAUAAAUAACCUCAUCUUGCAAUCCCACUGCUUAGUCAGUCAUCUUGGUGACCCAUUCUUUGCAACAAGUUUUGCAAAUGCCCUUUUUUUCAUUCUCAGAUGCCUUUGGCAACCUGGUCAACAUCUGAAGGUACCAGAUGAUAUUACCUUCAACUUAUCAUCACCAAGCCUAACAGCCCAUAAACAUCAGCAUCAACUUUCUUCUGCUUCUGAACUACUGUGUCAAAAACAGCAUUCCUUCUCUUAAAGCCAGUAUUUAUUCGUUUUUAGGUCACCCUUCCUCCCUUCCUGAGGAAGCGUAAAUGCAUGUUUUCUUGAUUCUAAAUUCUCAGUCACUCCCUUUCAUCAGUGUCUUCUCCUUGAUAUAUAAACCAUACAUUUUUCUAGUUCUUAGCUAGUUGUAGUUAUUUAUUAUUAUUGGCUAUUGAGCAACAGCAUGCCUUUUCAACAGUACUAACUUGAAAGUACAUUAAAAUGUUAAAAAUCCAUGUGAUUUUUAUUCAGACAAAAGCAACCUAGCAUCUCAGUUAAUUGAUAUUCUAUAAGCUUAUCAUGGGGUUAGACAUCUGGUAUACCCACAACCAGACUGGAUUUGACUAAAAUAGAAUCCUAGACCUGAUUAAAGUAUCUUCAUCUUAAUUAUUAAGUUCUUUUCCCAAUCCCAUAAACAAAAUAUCUUAACGAACUGAACUAAGCGAAGGAUCUUUUCCAAAAUGUCAUCUUAAUUUAGAAUUUUUAAAUAAGGCUCUAUGAGAAUAAUAAUUUCCGAAUUUCCAUAGCACAAUAUAAACAUCCAGCUUCUUCUGAUGAUGCUAAGUAUUUAAAUCAUUUAAAAACAUUUUUACAAAGAUGAAAACCAGGAGUAAUCUAUUUUUGAUCACUGAGACAAAACAUGCAUUACCUGUCUUAGGGUUUCUACUGCUGUGAUUUAAAACACGAGAUGAAAAGCAAUUUGGAGGGGAAAUGGUUUACUUCAUCUGAUAGCUUAUAGUCUGUAAUCAAGGCGAGUUGGGACCAAAACUCUCCAAGCUGAAACCUGAAGACAGAGACUGAUGCUGAGGCCAUACAGGAAUAUGCUGCUUACUGGCUCGCUCAGGAUGCUUUCUUAUACAGCCCAGUGCCACCUGCCCAUAGAUGGCACUACUGACAGUGGUCAAGAAAAUGGCCCAUAAGCUUGCCUACAGGUCAGUCUCAUGGAGUUUUCAAUGGAGGUUCAAGUUGACAUAGGUGAACCUAGCUUUUGUCAAGUUGACAUGAAAACUAGCCCAUACAUUACUCAAAUGUUUAUCCUUCCUAAACAUGAACAAUCCUUCGUCAAGUUAGGGUCCUGUCAACAAGCCUCUCUCUCACUUACAGCACAAAUAUUUUAUAUAAAUCAAUGAGACAAUGAAUGCAAAUGUGCUUUCAAAAUGAUGAAGCAGAAACAAAGCAGUCACUUUUAUUGUUUGUCCUUAAUGACAAAUAGAUCAAAACCUAUUAACAUUAAUAUACCUUUACUACAGUGUGAAUUCUUUCCAAUACAUUUGCUCAUCGGGCUAAAAUCAGAAAUCAAGAACAAUUUCCUGGGUAUUUGUUGUACAGUGGCUAAUCUAUGUUUAGACAAACCCCUAAAGUAAGAAUCAACAAGCUUAUGAGCUUGUCACGGAGCUUGGGUUAAUCCCCAUGUAUUGGUAAGAACAUAGUGAAUUACUGAUGGCUACAACACCUUAGGGCUCAUGUAAAAGGAAGAGACAUUUUAUGGGUCCACAGGAGUAGCACACCAGAGGAAGGCAAGCUGUGAUCAGUGUAUACAUCAUAUUCCCCUUCUAAAUAAAGACUUUCUUCCCCUUGUGUUUUGAUUUAGGUUUAUCCUGGAAAUUAAAUUGGCCAAUACGGAUAGUAAAUAUCAUAUUCAUGAAUUUCCAAGCCAGGGUUUUAAGAGAAGUCUGUCUCUAAUGCUCUCUUGUUAGAAUGUUCAUGCUGUGUUACUUCUUUGAACCCAAGCAUCAUAACAUAUGAAGAAACUCAGCCAUUAGGAAGGAAGAACUCCAAGCCAGAUGCAAGCCUUACACGGAACUGAGACGCGACAGUUGGGUUCCCAGCUGAGAGCUACCAUCAACUGUCAACCAGGUGGAAGAACUAUGUUUAAAGCCUUAUCUGGCCCUAAUAUAACAGACGUUCCAGCAACCAUCACAUAAAGAACGAAAGUGACUUUAGUCCAUCCCGAGAACUGUAAGAAAAACCAUUACUGAUGUAAGUGGAGAUGCUGUGUUAGCAAUAGGAAACAAAAGUUGUGUAUUACUGCAUAGAAAGCAAAGCAUUGCAGUGCCAUUUUCAAUGGAUUUAUGACACAUUGCGUCAUUCUUCCACCAUCGUCCUUUAUUUUUGUACCAUAAGAAGAAUUUCACUAAGUUAAAAAAAAAAAAAAGGGAGGGGCUUUGCAAAUCUAAAGGGACAGAGGAAGCUCCAUGAACACAGCUGAUCAGAACGAUUCGAAGGCAGACAGAUUCCUGAGUUCCAGGUCAGCCUGGGAUGCAGCAAGUUAGGGCCCAAGAGUGAUAGAAGUGGUAAUUUCAGGACAGGGUCCCAUCCAGCUGGUUUAUCAUCUGUGUUUAACAGAGGCAAGGAAGACCUCUGAAUUCUUUUGCAAUGUUAAAAAACAAAAAUAAACAUGCUUGCUGUCCCCUAAGAA